GGGCCUGUAGCUCAGCUGGCAGAGCAUCGGACUUUUAAUCCGCGGGUCGUGGGUUCGAGCCCCACCGGGCCCACCA
This 76-nucleotide transfer RNA is filed under the name Sanguibacter sp. HDW7. RNAcentral's name for it is "tRNA-Lys". It matches the Rfam family "tRNA". From Rfam's summary of the family: Transfer RNA (tRNA) molecules are approximately 80 nucleotides in length. Their secondary structure includes four short double-helical elements and three loops (D, anti-codon, and T loops). Further hydrogen bonds mediate the characteristic L-shaped molecular structure. tRNAs have two regions of fundamental functional importance: the anti-codon, which is responsible for specific mRNA codon recognition, and the 3' end, to which the tRNAs corresponding amino acid is attached (by aminoacyl-tRNA synthetases). tRNAs cope with the degeneracy of the genetic code in two manners: having more than one tRNA (with a specific anti-codon) for a particular amino acid; and 'wobble' base-pairing, i.e. permitting non-standard base-pairing at the 3rd anti-codon position. Lineage: Bacteria; Bacillati; Actinomycetota; Actinomycetes; Micrococcales; Sanguibacteraceae. The record is from RNAcentral.